GCCAGACUCCUACGGGAGGCAGCAGUGGGGGAUAUUGCACAAUGGGGGAAACCCUGAUGCAGCGACGCCGCGUGUGGGAAGACGGUCCUCUGGAUUGUAAACCACUGUCCCCAGGGACGAAGAUGACGGUACCUGACUAAGAAGCCCCGGCUAACUACGUGCCAGCAGCCGCGGUAAUACGUAGGGGGCAAGCGUUAUCCGGAUUUACUGGGUGUAAAGGGAGCGUAGACGGCUAGUCAAGUCAGAAGUGAAAGCCCAGGGCUCAACCUUGGGACUGCUUUUGAAACUGAGUAGCUAGAGUGCAGGAGAGGUAAGCGGAAUUCCUAGUGUAGCGGUGAAAUGCGUAGAUAUUAGGAGGAACACCAGUGGCGAAGGCGGCUUACUGGACUGUAACUGACGUUGAGGCUCGAAAGCGUGGGGAGCAAACAGGAUUAGAUACCCGCGUA
RNAcentral lists this ribosomal RNA (446 nucleotides) under uncultured bacterium. RNAcentral describes it as "bacterial SSU rRNA". It matches the Rfam family "Bacterial small subunit ribosomal RNA", at positions 330 to 792 of the family's 1533-position model. The record is from RNAcentral.